UGCAGUCGAACGCAGUAGCAAUACUGAGUGGCAAACGGGUGAGUAUAAUGUGGGAAUCUGCCUUUUGGUUUGGAAUAACACGGGGAAACUUGUGCUAAUACCGAAUAAGCCCUUACGGGGAAAGUUUUAAUGCCGAAAGAUGAGCCCGCACUUGAUUAGCUAGUUGGUAAGGUAAAAGCUUACCAAGGCAACGAUCAAUAGCUGUUCUUAGAGGAAGACCAGCCACAUUGGGACUGAGACACGGCCCAGACUCCUACGGGAGGCAGCAGUGGGGAAUCUUGCACAAUGGGGGAAACCCUGAUGCAGCGAUGCCGCGUGAGUGAAGAAGGCCCUUGGGUUGUAAAACUCUUUCGUCGGGGAAGAAAAUGACUGUACCCGAAUAAGAAGGUCCGGCUAACUUCGUGCCAGCAGCCGCGGUAAUACGAAGGGACCUAGCGUAGUUCGGAAUUACUGGGCUUAAAGAGCUCGUAGGUGGUUAAAAAAGUUGAUGGUGAAAUCCCAAGGCUCAACCUUGGAACUGCCAUCAAAACUUUUUAGCUAGAGUGUGAUAGAGGUAAGUGGAAUUUCUAGUGUAGAGGUGAAAUUCGUAGAUAUUAGAAAGAACACCAAAUGCGAAGGCAACUUACUGGGUCACUACUGACACUGAGGAGCGAAAGCAUGGGUAGCGAAGAGGAUUAGAUACCCUCGUAGUCCAUGCCGUAAACGAUGAGUGCUAGACGUUGGGAAUAUAUUUUUCAGUGUCGCAGCGAAAGCAUUAAGCACUCCGCCUGGGGAGUACGACCGCAAGGUUAAAACUCAAAUGAAUUGACGGGGNNCCGCACAAGCAGUGGAGCAUGUGGUUUAAUUCGAAGANACNCGCAGAANCCUUACCAACGCUUGACNUGUUCGUCGCGAGANUAAGAGAUUAGUU
Molecule: ribosomal RNA, 910 nt
Filed under: uncultured bacterium
Lineage: Bacteria
Description: bacterial SSU rRNA
Rfam family: Bacterial small subunit ribosomal RNA
Source: RNAcentral